GGGACGAACGCUGGCGGCGUGCUUAACACAUGCAAGUCGAGCGGUAAGGCCUUUCGGGGUACACGAGCGGCGAACGGGUGAGUAACACGUGGGUGAUCUGCCCUGCACUUCGGGAUAAGCCUGGGAAACUGGGUCUAAUACCGGAUAUGACCUCAGGUUGCAUGACUUGGGGUGGAAAGAUUUAUCGGUGCAGGAUGGGCCCGCGGCCUAUCAGCUUGUUGGUGGGGUAAUGGCCUACCAAGGCGACGACGGGUAGCCGACCUGAGAGGAUGACCAGCCACAUUGGGACUGAGACACGGCCCAAACUCCUACGGGAGGCAGCAGUGGGGAAUCUUGCGCAAUGGGCGAAAGCCUGACGCAGCCAUGCCGCGUGAAUGAUGAAGGUCUUAGGAUUGUAAAAUUCUUUCGACCGGGACGAUAAUGACGGUACCGGAGAAGAAGCCCGGCUAACUUCGUGCCAGCAGCCGC
This 468-nucleotide ribosomal RNA is filed under the name uncultured soil bacterium. Its description in RNAcentral is "bacterial SSU rRNA". It matches the Rfam family "Bacterial small subunit ribosomal RNA", at positions 27 to 518 of the family's 1533-position model. The record is from RNAcentral.